GCUGAAUGAUUUCUUUAUUAUAACUAUGCUAAAAUACAUCAAUAUACUAUAUAAAAGGAGGAUACUAAAACUACACACUACUUUCUCUAUCUCUAACACAACUCGUGACCCUCUCUGAGAGUCCAGCCCCAUGUGGGCUGGAUUGGCCAUCAGGCUCAAACAAUCCUCACCAGAAUCCAACCAAGCAUCACCCCAGGUAAACAAUUCUCCAAACACAUUCCACAUAGGAAAAACAAGGAGCAGAAAUAGAAAUUGUUUUCUCUUUCAUUUCUCUCUGUGCACUUAUAUGAAAAAUCCUGAGAGGGAGAGAAAUGUGCUUGCCACACCAGGACCACCCACAUGCUGCAGAGUCAGACAGAGCAGUUGUGUGGUCACACUAGGGCAGUCCUCUCUCACAGAAAGCAUUUAAGGCUGCUCUGUUUGGGAUAUGGCUCCUUUACCCUCCCAAAAGGGCACUGAUCUAGCUCUGUCAAGCUUAAGAGAUUUGGGUGGUGCCACCACAUUGCCAUGUCCACACAGUGUCCUCUUAAAGUGUGUCCAGAGUGGCCACUGCCAGUGCAGUUCUCGCCUGGCUCACUCCUGAGCUGUGCUGCUGCAUUGCCUGGGGACAUGUGAGCUGACACAGGCCACAGCCCACGGGGGAAGGCUUGAACCAUAAACCAGUGUGGGCAACUGAACUCCCACACCUGAGGCCAGUCCCUGUACUGUUCAAUUUGCUGUUAUACCAGCAGUCAACGUUUCAUCCUCCUCUGAUGAUGAUAGUCUGAAAUGUUCGCCUUUGGGCCAGUUUGUGAUGACUUCCAAGAUCCCUGAGUGAUUCACCUGCUCAGUGGGAAACAUAAAAUUACAGAUCAUGGCCCUAGAAGAGCCUUUGAGAGGCUGGCUAGUCCAUUCCUUGCCUGUAUCAACCAUGCUGUUGCUCUCUUCCUGUAUUUCCUACUCUUGAAGAUUUCCAAUUAUGAAGAGAAUGGUAAAAUACAUGGUAGGAAGGUGAUCCACCACUCUUCUUUGACACUGUUUCAUUCAAGAGUAAACAAAGUAGGCCCUUUCUUUGGUUAGGUUAUAGGUUAAUUUUAAAAUGCACAUGGUCUAAUAUUACACCAUUCUUAUUGUUAGUAAAUAUUUGAUAGCAGGCCUCAGUAAUUUAUAUUGGAAAAAACAGUGAUAUGGAACUGGCAGAUGAAAACACUUGCUAGAGAUGAUCAUAAAUUAAAUAACACUCACAGCCUCUGAGUUGGAAGGAGGAGGCUCUCAUGUCACGGAGAUCAAUGUCCGUAUUUACCGUGUUUUACAACACUCUGUGAAUUGCAGUCCAGAGCACACAAAUGUAUUCCACAUAAAGUACAUGAGGGCUGAGUGAUAUCUCAGUGCCUCUCCAGUGAAGCUCUAGCAAUAUUGAGCACAAAGGUAAGUUAAAACAUGUUAUGUUUGUAUAGAAGUACAUAUUGAUAUGUCCAAGAAGAUAGUUGUUUCAAUGAUAUUGUAACAUUUAUUGAAAAUAGAAGAAAUAGCUAAAUAUAUGUCAAAGCAUGUGUGUUCACUGCAGCACCCUGCAUUUAAAUUCCAGUGCAGAUUAUUCCUACAACCAGGGAAGAGGAUGAAUGUCAGCAAUGUGGAGUCACCAUGACAGAAGACUGGCAGGACAAUGAACAUGGAACAUGAUCAUUCCUCCCAGGACAAACCUGAACCUUGCUAUGUGAAAGAAAUAUGGUCAUUGAAAGCCUGAGGGUUGAAGAAAUCCCACCAUGCUCACCAACUGGAAAACAGCUCCUUGUCAGGGGAGUACAAAAGAACAAAUGCACAAUAGGAACAAAAUGCACAGAGGAACAAAAGAACAAUAUGUAAGACUACUUAAGUAUACAAAGUCCUAUUGAUGAACAGAUCACAUCUUCACAAACAAACAUGCUCAAAAGUCCUCUUCCUGUUUUGUAUAUGUAAUAAGUCCUUGAUAUGAUGGAAAUGUUUUUGCAGAACAGGCUUUUUUACCUGGUGUCAGAAUGCUUUCAUUGACAAUUAUAAUUUUUUACCACUCUGAUAUUCUAACAAAAGGUAUCUGUGAAGAUGUGGUGCUUUGUAUUUUCCUGUCUAUUCCGUAGCAGUUAAUGAUGGAUAGACAAUUUCAAAUUUUGAACUACCAUGGAAACUACUUGGUAUCCUGCUUUUCUUUAUUGAGUUCACAACUCCCUCUGCAGUAAACCUUGCAAGUCCUUGAACAAAUGUCAAGAGACACAGCUGUAGCUACGGUGCCAGUUUUGAAAUUA
Molecule: long non-coding RNA, 2261 nt
Filed under: Taeniopygia guttata (zebra finch)
Lineage: Eukaryota; Metazoa; Chordata; Aves; Passeriformes; Estrildidae
Description: lncRNA (ENSTGUG00000020574.1)
Source: RNAcentral